Long non-coding RNA from Neofelis nebulosa (Clouded leopard), 2045 nucleotides. RefSeq lists it as uncharacterized. The transcript is spliced from 3 exons. The record is from RefSeq and is a predicted model, not a curated record. NCBI's taxonomy places the organism in Eukaryota, Metazoa, Chordata, Mammalia, Carnivora, Felidae.
GCUGAUGACGAUGGUGUUUGAGUAGCUCAGGCAUAAAGAGACGAAGGUUGAACCAGACUAGGGGUCUUGGGAAUGGGAAUGGAAGGACGGUGAAGGACUCUGUGGCAAGAGCUUGAGGGAAGGGGUGAAGGCAAGGGUGUGAAUUGGGCCUUUCUGUUCCAGAUCAGCAGCAGCACCAGAGACCAGCGUUGAGAGACACGCGCUCCAAACUGUGGGUCUGACACAUGCUCAGUUGUAGCCCUGAUUCAGCACUGGAGGCCACGCGCUGGGCCACCGGGCUUGCCAGCUUCUCCUCAUGCAGAGCCGGUGUUGCACGAGGCAGGACUGAUGGUGCAAGCCGCUCUCCCCGUGUCAGCCUUGCGGGGUCCGCCGGUCAGAGUGUAGCCAGGGAGACGAAAAAUUGAGUGAAUGCUGGCUUCGACUUGUGCUGUGUGGCCAUUAGGACACACUUAAGGAGCCACUAGGAAAUGGAUUGCAUCUGUGUCCUGACGGAGCUGUCUGCCCUUGACAGGCCCAGGUAGGUGUGGGAGGUCACCACCGGAAACGUCCAAACAGAAAGUGGACCUCACUCGUGGCACAUGGUGGGGGGAGCAGGUGUAAGCACUGGAUUGGAUAGGCUGUAGGACCCCUGGGGCUCCUUUUAAACCUGACACUCCAUGAUUCCAUGACUUUCCUACCACAACUUGGGUUACUUAGCAGGUGUAGUCUGUUUUCUUUUCUUGCUUAGAACUUGGGAGAGAAGAAUGAAUUUGUUCUCAUUUGUUAACUAAGCAGCUCCCUUCACUUUUGAUCAGGUAGGUUUCAAAGGUCAGGACGGGGCAUGUAUGUAUAUAUGUUUGUAUCACUCUGUGACCCAGUGAGUUCUGGAAAGUGGUGCAACAGGUCAGUCACCAGACUUGGGUGGCUUGGGUCCUACACAACCUCCACCUCAGAUUAGAUUAGACAUUGCUGUAAGGACCUUCAUAAAACUUUGUGCUUCCCCAUCACCCUGAACCCUAAUUGCUUUUAGAUCAUGAAUGGAUACUCUUCUUUGCUAUAAAUUCUAUGAGUGUGGAGACUAUAUUUUUCUUGGUUAGCACUGUAUCUCCACCUAAAAUCUUGUAUGUACCUGGCACAUGGACAAUACUUAAUAAAUGUCUGAUAAGUAGAUGAGUGGAUGGAUGGAUGGAUGGAUGGAGUACUACAUCUCCACUAUAGUCAAAUGCUUAAUAGAUUUGGGCAUUAGGAUAGGCACCUUUUGUUUUCAAAUGAGUAGAACAUAGUUCCCUUUUCAAGAAUUAAAUAUGAACAUGAAAUUAGUCGAGAGUCCAAGUAUUUUAGAAAUACUCUUACCUGAGGCAUAGUCCCUUUGAGGAACACUUGGAGGUGCUUUGACUUUCAGCCUAUAGAUAACAACCAUUAGACAAAUGGUCAGUGGGUAGGACAACUGUUGUCAAGGCCCAUAAUAUAAGCAAAUAUAGAGAUAACAGACAGAUAACUAAUAGAAUAAUGGCUUCUUUUGGACCCAUCACAUUGAAAGACUAAAUGUAUUAUAAAUGUAGUGAAGCCAUUGAUCAGAGGUCUCCUAGCUCCCUCAUCUCCCCAGUGUACAACGGGGCUGUGACUUGGCAAAGGUGAAGUCAGGUGCUGGAAUAGUCACCUGAGUUCAGAGCUUCAGGGAAGAAAAUUGUUAAUUGGUUGAUAAGAUGGUAAUAGAGGAUGAACUCUGUUUUAAUAAAUAACUCAAUGCAGGACGCCUGGGUGGCUCAGUCAGUCAAGCGUCUGACUCUUGGUUUCUACUGUGGUCACGACCUCACGGUUUUGUGAGUUCGAGCCCCGCAUGGGGCUCUGUGCUGGCGACGCGGAGCCUUGCUUGGGAUUCUCUCUCUCUCUCUCUGCCCCUCCCCGACUCAUGCUGUCUCUGUCUCUCUCAAAAAUAAACUUAAAAGAAAUAACUUAAUACCUCAAUGCUUUAAACAACAAGAAAAAUAUUAGUUAUAAUGAACACUUUGGUUGUAGGUUGGACUGACACUGUUUUUGCACUAUUUAAAAAAAAAAAAAAGCCA